UACGAACUGCGCAAACGUUAUUCGGAAUCACUGGGCUUACAGGGUGCGUAGGCGGCCGACCAGGUCAGAUGUGAAAUCCCACAGCUCAACUGUGGAACGGCAUUUGAAACCGGCCGGCUUGAGUGAACUAGAGGCAUACGGAACUUCCGGUGGAGCGGUGAAAUGUGUUGAGAUCGGAAGGAACACCAGAGGCGAAAGCGGUAUGCUGGAGUUUGUCUGACGCUGAGGCACGAAAGCCAGGGGAGCGAACGGGAUUAGAUACCCCGGUAGUCCUGGCUGUAAACGAUCCGUACUAGACGGUGGGGGGCUCGCCUUCCACGGUCGCAGCGAAAGCAUUAAGUACGGCGCCUGGGGAGUAUGGUCGCAAGGCUGAA
This 374-nucleotide ribosomal RNA is filed under the name uncultured bacterium. RNAcentral describes it as "bacterial SSU rRNA". It matches the Rfam family "Bacterial small subunit ribosomal RNA", at positions 524 to 898 of the family's 1533-position model. The record is from RNAcentral.